ACAACCCUAGAACAAAGGUCUUCAGUUACUAAUGCCUAAGAAGAGAAAAAAUAAGAAAAGAAUCCUAAAAAAGUAUCGACAACGUAUCCUUCCAAAGUCUCCGUAUAUCCUCCAAUAAUUAUUCUUAUGGACUAUUUAUAAAUGUAGAAAACCCUAAAAAAAAAUAGUAGAGUCCAAACAAAUUGGGAAAGCAAAACCUACACGAAAUUGGAGGUGCCUUCAUUCAGUGCCAUGUGGCAACAAGAUAAUUGUCUAUCAAAAUCUGCUUCCUUUCAAUUCUGCGUACAUUUGAAUGUAUAUAAAUAUUAAUAUAAUGUUCAAUUUAAUCCAUCAAAUUUUCUGCUUUCAUUCUUCAACCUUUCAUUUUUAAUUCAUUUUAGCUCCAAACUUCUCUAUCUUCACACCAAUUUAAUCCUACAAAUAAAAUAUACUAUUAAGUACAAUCCACAAAAAUUCAUGCCCAAAAAUAACAAAUAAAAAUAAUAAAUGUGAGGCAAAUAAUGAUUUAAAAUAUGUAAUUUUGCCUCACAUCAUAUAGUAUGUGUGGAAAGCUCUCAAAUUGUGUUCAACUUAACUGAAGUAUAUGGGCUUCAUACGAUGGAGGAUAGGAAAAUGCUAUGGCAGGAUCCCAGGGAGAUACAUAUGAAUCAACAAGGGGCUUGGCUAGCACUGGGAGAUUAUAAUGCUAUACUUGAUUCUGAAGACAGAAUAAUAGGAAAUCUAGUUAGAGAAAUGGAAAUUGUGGACUUUAAUGAAUUCCUACUUGAUAGUAGUAUAAUUGAAAUGCGAUCAAGGGGUAGAAGUUUCACUUGGACUAACAGACAUAUUUCUAGAAAGAUCGAUCGAGUUCUAGUCAAUGGGGAGUGGAUGUUAAUGUUCCCACAACUAGAAGUCCACGUUAUGGACCCAAAAUUUCCAGACCAUUCUCCACUUAGAGUCCAGAUUGCUAUGGAAAACUAUGAAUACCCAAAACCUUUCAGAUUCUUGAAUUGUAUUGUCGAUCAUGAAGAGUUUUUGGGGUUGUGCAGAGAGUGUGGCUUCAUAGUAGAAGAGAAGGGUAUAUGAAAAGUGUUUGGAAAAGUCUUAAAUUGAUAUCAACUUAACAUUCUAAGACAACAGUUGGAUGAUAUCCAAACCACCAUGAGACAUCCUGAACAUGAUCAUGAUAUUUUUAGACAGGAGAACACACCUCUACAUCUUUUCAUAUCUAUUGUCAGAGGAUUGCUGCUCAUAACUACUAGCUAUCCAUCUAGCCCACGAUAGCGAAGUCUCAAAAAAAAGAUUGGCAUUAAGCUAUAACUACAAAAAUGGGACAACAUUGUUGGGAGUAUCUUAAAGAAGAAAUCUAGAAUGACUUGGCUAAAAUUAGGAGAUGCAAAUAGAUCCUUUUUUUUGCUAGCAUAAAAUCUAGAAUAUCCCAUAACAAAAUUAAGAGUCUUACUACAUCUGCUGGUAUUGUCCUACUCACACAAGAUGAGGUCAAAAAUGAGAUAAUCAACUUCUACAGAGGUGUGCUGGGAACUGCAGCUACACACUUACCUACCGUAAAUCCAAUCCUAUGCUGGAUAGACAACAUCAAUUGAAACUCAUUGAAUUUGUUACUAAGAAAGAAAUCCUAAAUGCACUUAAAGGGAUAGAGGACUCAAAAGCACCAGGAUGUAAUGGUUACAACACUUAUUUCUUUAAGAAAGCAUAGAAUGUCAUAGGCGAGGAGGUCAAAAAUGCUAUCUUGGAAUACUUCUCAACUGAAAAAUGUUUAAGGACAUAAACUAAACAAUUAUAACACUGAUUCCUAAAGUCAAGAACCCAACUAAGGUCAUUAAAUACAGGCCAAUAUCAUGUUGUACUAUUCUCUAUAAUCCCAUCUCAAAGGUUUUAACUGCUAGGAUGAGAGUGACAAUGGAUGGGCUAGUGCAUGCUAGCAAAUCUGCGUUUGUUCCAGGGAGAGUGAUCACUGAUAACAUUAUCAUGAGCCAUGAUAUCAUCAAAUGGUACGGAAGGAAACAUAUAUCCCCUAGAUGCAUGAUGAAGAUCGACAUGAAGAAAGCUUAUGAUUCUAUUGAAUGACCUUUUCUAGAGCAGGUAUUGAAAAUUAUCAAUUUCCCACCUAUAUUUGUGAAUUGGAUUAUGACAUGUGUUACCAAAGUGUCUUACUCUAUACUCAUUAAUAGUGUGCCUACUGUCCCGUUCAAUGCAAAAAAGGACCUUAGACAGGGUGAUCCCUUAUCCCCUUAUCUCUUUGUGUUGUCUAUGGAAUACUUGAAUAGACAACUACCAACUUUGAAGAACCAACUUGAUUUUAACAUUUAUCCCAAGUGUGGGAAGUUGUCCAUCACACAUCUUGGCUUUGCUGACGACUUACUACUUUUCAGUAGAGGUGAUCUAACAUUUGUUCGUAUGAUCUAUGAAUAUUUUAAUGUAUUCUCUAAUGCAUUUGGUCUGGUAACAAACAUUGAGAAGAGCUCUAUUUAAUUUGGAGGUGUACCAAUGGCUGAGCAGGAAGCAAUAUUACAGAGUUUGGUAUUUGCCAAAGGUAUCCUUCAUUUCAAAUAUCUUGGCAUCCCUCUCACAUCAAAGAAGACAAUCAUUAUCCAAUAUAAAUCACUACUAGAUAAGAUGUUGGAUAGGAUAAAAUUCUGGACAUCUAGAUUUUUGUCAUAUGCAGGUCGGGUGCAAAUGAUCAAAAAAUAUCCUAUUUUCUAUCCAAGUAUUUUGGUCGCAAGUUUUCAUCCUUCCACAAAAGGUGAUCCAAGUGGCAAUAUCAUUGUGUAAAAAGUUAUUGUGGUCUGGUGGAGCUGACACUAUAAAGACAUCAAUAAUAGCACGAGAGAAAUUAUGCAAUCUAAAAGCAGCAAGGGGAAUGGGAUUCCUAGAUAUUACAGACUGGAAUAGAGCUGCAAUUUGCAAACAUCUAUGUAACUUUUUCUUGAAGAAAUAUAGACUAUGGAUCCAAUGGAUUCACGCAUAUUAUAUCAAAGGGGGCCGAUCUAGCAUACAAAUGCCCCCAAGCAUCUUGGAUGAUAAAGAAGAUUCUUAAGGCCAAUGAUAGUGUUAAAGCUACUGGAUAUAAUGAGUAGGAAGUGGUUGCUAUAAAUAAGUUGAGUACAAAGCUAAUAUACUCUUAGUUAAGGCGAACUUAUACCAAAGUACACUUGAGAAGAAUAGUAUGUAACAAUCAUGGUGCCCCAAAAUGGAAGUUUAUAUUGUUCUUAGUUACUUUAAGGAGAUUAUUGACCAGUGAUAGACUAGCCAAAUGGAACACUAUUACUGAUGGGGUUUGGACAUAAAUAUCGAAAAAUCAAGAUAUCAAACUGAACCAAAUUUUUUUGGUAUUUCACUUUUUGGUAUGUUUUUUUGUGUUUUCAGCAUUUUAGUUCGGUUUCAGUAUGUGUUUUUGUAUUUUUGGUUUAACCAAAAUAUACAUGUAUAUUUCACUUUUCAAUUGUAACACCCCAAAAAUUUCUAAGUUAAGACUCAAAUCAUUCUUCAUUUGUAAAUAAGAUUGUACCGGAUGAUUCUUAAAUUUCUCAUGUAUGUAAAGGUCAAUUAUUUAAUGUGGAAAUGAAUUUGGAUAUGAGUUAGGUCACUAGAAUCCCCUAGCACAAAGUUGGGUUGAACGCUUCUAUACCAAUUAAGUUUUGAUGUAAGAUUCUACUUGGGUCAACUUCAAACAACCAUAUCUCUUAGAAUAUAUAGGGUUACGUGGACCAUAAUCUAUUAUAUUAAAUGUAUUUGAAUAAUCUUUCCAACGCCACCAAUUUCACAACAAUCUAAGUUCUCAGUAAAAUGUUAUGACAAUUUUAGUAACCUGAUACAGUGAAGUGAUGAAUUAGCCGACGGGAAAACAUUAAAAAGGGUUGUUUUUGUCUUUUUACCUCUAAGAAAACCCUAAACGAAUUUCUUAACUAAUUAAAGGCCCAAAAAAUCAGAUUUUCAUCUCUUAAUCCCUCAUUUUCUUCUCUCUCACCCCUAAGGCAAAACCCUAAGGAAAGAUCAAAGUAGAAUACUUUCAUUCAAGAUUCUUUCAAUCUUUUUUAAGAUUCUUUCAAUAUUUUUCAAGAUUCUUUUUCAAGGUAAGUCCUUCUCCAAGAAUUUCAUUCUUUCCAAUUCAAAUUCUUCCAUACAAUUAUGAAUCACUAAUAAAAAUUAUAAUUCUUGGCCGUAGAGAUUUCAAGAAACUAAUUCAAGAAAGGAUUUUUUGAUUGUUCUCCUUCAAGCUAGAGUUUCAAGGCUUCUGAUCAAGUUCUUCUUCAAGAUUAUUCAAGAACCUUGUUCUUCCAGGUAUGUAAGGUUAUCAUAGUGUUGGACUAGUUCUUCUUUACGCCCUACAUCUACUUUCAAAUCAGUAAAAGAGUAAUCUAGAAUUUUAUCCCUAGAUUUGAGUAUUCUUGAGAUGAGAUGAUUUUGAGUUCUUGAGUUCCUGAUUCUUUUGAAAUUCUAUUCCUAAUUAUUGAAUUGCCAUUUGUUAGGCAUUAAGAUAUAUUUCAACAUGAACGCUAUGAAUUGAGUAUUCUUGAGAUGAGUAGUAUAAUUGAGUUUUGAGUUCUUUAUUUCUGAGUAUUGAGUUUUUCAUAUUAUUAUUGAGAUCAUUGAGUUGAUUUGUUCAUGUCUAUAUUUCAGAAUGAACCCUAUUUUAAGUUAAAAAUUUUGAGAAUCUUUUAAAAUAGAUAUUUAUGCCUUAUACUGAUUUUCUGAGAAAAUAAAGAUGAGUUUUGAGAAAGAGUUUUAAUCUUGUUCUGGCAGGGUGGGCGAGACGUUGUAUCAUCACGUAGCUCAUAGUGAUGGUUAUCGGUAAGAGAAUCUACCAAAUAGAGUUAAAAGAGUAUUUUUAUUAUAUCACUUAUUAUGCUAAGUUCAAAAAUAAGUAAGUAUUUUUGUAAACUUUUAAUAAUUUCACCUCUUUAUUUCUUUACAUUUAGUUGAGUAUAUGUCUAUAUCUAUUGCACUCCUUUCAUUUAGUUAUUUGUUAUCCAGCUUGUUACGACCCGAUUUCAAAAACUAAAGGUUUCGAAACCAUUUCAUAACUUUUGCAAGUUUAUUGAUUUUUGGGAAAAAUAACAAUUUGGAAGUCGCCACUUAAUUUUUAGGAAAAAUUAAGAAUAAUAGGGGAAUAUUUGAAAGAAAACAUUUUAAAUAAAAUCAGACUCAGGUAAGGGUUCAAAUAAUUCUCUAAGGAGGGGUUUAGGCAUCUUAGAGAAUUUGCUAACACGCGAUUGACCGAUGGAUUUAAAAGCUUGGCUAAUUUUAUUAAAAAAAAAGGGUUACUUAUAAAAAUAUCUUGAUACUUCUAAAAAUCUCAAGAAUAAUCUUAACUUAAAACUUUUAUCCAUAGUCAUGUUUUGAACCAUACAAUUAAUUCAAACUCAUAAACAUGGAUUAAAGGACCUUGUUUAACAACUAUGAAAGGAUAUUAAGGAUCCUUAAGUCAUUCAUACAAAGUACUAAGUUAAAUUAAAGGACAACUAAUUUAUCUUAAGAAACUUAACAAUUUUAUCCUAUUCAAAAAUUUGAACUAAAUAGUUAGUUCAAACUCAUAAACAUGGAUUCAAAGCUUUUCAAUAACUAUGAAAGAACAUGAAAGGUUCUUUAAGUCAUUCUAUAAGCUUAAAUUACCUAACUUAAAAUGGGUUUUGGGAUUUGAAAACUUGAAUAACAAAAUAAAAAAUAUUUCUCCCAAAGAUUCAUCUAAAUUAACAAAAUAAAUGUUAGAAAUUAAUGAUAUACCGUGAGUUUACGGUAUUGUUAAUACAUUUCACUUGAGAGUUGUGUGUGUCUAGGGCCAUUCUGUAUUAGUUCUUAUGUGUUUUCUCAUGUUUUCAGGAAUAAGUUCAGAUGCGGAGAUUUGAAGACACAGCUGAAAGACGUGCAAAAACAGCAUCUACGGAGGAAACCUACAAACAAUAGGUCCAGUUACGCCCCGUAAAUGAUGGACGUCGAUGGGCAGGCAAGGCAUGGCUGAAGAUCAGGAAAUUCUCGACCAAGUGUAGAACCACGGUUGCAACUUACGAACCGUAGAUUGAUCUACGGACCGUACUGUUGCUCCGUAAAAUGUGACAGAAAUUUGGUUCCAGCACCUGAUGCUGAAAAGUCUAAGUAUGGAGCUACGGAGAGGAGUUACGGACCAAAGAUUAACUUACGGUCCGUACUGUUGAACCGUCGAAUAUAACAGAAGUUUGGAAGAUUUUGAAGAUUGAAAAAUUGCCCAAGUCCUGAGCCACGGAAAGGACCUACGGACCGUAGAUAGACUUACGGACCAUAGGUCAGUGUCGUAGAUUAAAGACGCAUCAUGUAAACUUUAUUUCCUUAUUUCGUUUCCUUUUUAGUUAGGACUUGUUUUCCUAUAAAUAGGGUACGUAAACCUCGUUUUUGGGGUUAGACUUUAUUACUUUUAUUCUAGUUCUUGACUUGGGAGAUCAACUUGCAACUUUAGCAAUACUUAAUUUUCUAAGUUCGUUUUGAAGAUUUUGGUGUUGAAAUUCAAGUUGAAGUCUGGGUUUAUUAUUCUUGUUACGUAAGUUCAUGAUUUCUUCUUCUAAAACUAUGAAUCGUGUUCUUGCUAAUACGGGUAACUAAAUCCACAACUAGGGUUGUGGAACCAUGAGCGAUUAACAAAGUGUUGUUGCAUGCAUUAGUAAUUCUUUCGUUUAGAAGUCUUUUUAACGAGAGCAUGUGUUAAAACUCGCCUUGUUGCUACUUGCCGGACCAAGGAGGUAGUUAAUAAGAAAAGAAUUAUCAACAUAGAUUUAGUGUGAUACUAUCUAAUAGAAUUAAUGUCGAUUGGUGCGAGGGUGAAAACUAAGUCAUACAUCGAUGUGACGUCUAAUAUGAGGUAAUGGUAAGGGUUAGUAAAUGAUACACACGUAGCCGGACCAAGGUGCGGGGUGAAAUUCUCUAGAUGCCGGGCCAAGGAUUUAGAUACACAUAACUUAUUGUUUUGCAUGUAAUACACUAGGAAGAGAUUGCUAUUACUAGGAUUACAGAGUUAUGAGCUUAUGGGGAACACGUACUCCCUAGUUUCUUUCUCAAUUUGAUAACAACAAAAGUUUAAAUCUUGCUUACUAAUUACUUUCAUAACUUCCAAAAUUUGUUACACAAAUCCCCCCCCCCUUUUACUUAUUUGUCUCGGAAAUACAUUUGCUAAACGAAUAUAAUCGUUAUUGAACUUAAGUAUAAAUCAUAUUCCUCGUGAAAUUGACCCCAACCUACAAGUUGGGUUCUUUACGUGAUAACGAUCGCUUAUGCUUCUGAAAAGAGGUGUAAUUUGAGCGUAUCAAUUAACGGCAAUUAUCACAAAAUCACAAUAUAAGAAGAAUAAAAGGGCGAAUAGAACUUGGACAAUUUUAAGUACACUUACUGCUUCUUAUUUGCUGCUGCUGGUGCUAAAAUGAUAUUUCCAGCCUUUUGAGACUACUGAAACUGGUGCAAAAACCAAGUGUUCUAAUUUCGGCCAAUUUGAACCGAAAACACUCUCAUUUCAGCUCUUUUGUGCCCCUGUUGCUGCUUCUGAUUUUGGGUUUUUAACCCAAUUUCGCUUCUCAUUUCUCAGCCUUUCAAGGCUGCUGUAGUGGCUGGCUCUUAGGUUUUAUCCCAGUAAUAUUAACCUCCUUUCAAUUGGCUUAAAGGAGGUUGACUCGAGGAGAGGAGUAUGCAAGAAUAGGAGUCCAAUUGGACUCAAACGAGAGAGUUCAUGCCAAGGAAAAAAGGGAAAAAGAUUAACAACAUUUGAAUGAUAUCAACUUGAGCUUAAAACAAACAAUGUCAUGUGAGCUCAAAACUCUAAUUGGCAUGUUUAUCAUGGCUAAAAUUAUACCAAACUUAACCAUAUACUACUAUCGAUCACAGAAAAAAUAAAGAUAAAGCAAAUAUAAAUUAGAGAAAAGAACUAUAUCAAGUAAAUAUGAACUUACUGCUUAAGGAAACAAGCUGAUGUCAACAUGAAUUAAUUUAAGACAUGACACAGAUAGCCAUAUUCAAACACAGCAAUAAAGAAAAAACUACCAAGAGCAAGCAAAACUCUAUCUAGAGUUACUGAACCAGAAUUACAACAAAGAACAUCUAAGGGCAAUCAAGGGUAGCACUUGAAGAUUUACGGCAGUUGAGGUUAGAUUAACUACAAACAGUAAAGAAAAGAGUGGUAUAUUUGCACCUAAAAUCAGUAAAUGAACACGAGAACAUAUUUAUAAUAUUGUCAAAAUUAUUUGAACACCACAUAAUUUCAUAAGCAAUUUAGAAUCUGUGUAUAAAAUAACAUUUCCAAGAUGGAGGCACUUAACAACAAUAGGCAGCCACAACUUAAUUAUGACAACAACUAAACAGAGGUUUCUUACUCCUACUUUAACACAACCUUUGAUCAAACCAAAAAGGAGUUUGAAACAGAUUCAAGUAUAGUUUAAAGAUAAACAACUUUAGACUCAACUUGAUCAAGUUUUAAGCCAAUUCAUUUAGCAUAUACGAAAGGCAAACAAGAAAGAGCAAGGAGAUAUAAAAUAACUUAGAGAAUUUAAACAAGGAUCUAAGUAGAGUAAUCUAAUAAAUUUUAGGACGUAUAAAAGCUAUGAUAUGAGCUUUCAUCCAUCCCAGCCUAACUCUUUGGAGAGUGUUAAAGAGCAGCCCCAAAGGUAAGCAAUUUCUCACUCAGACAGGCUCUCGAUUGGCAUUGAAAGCCAAUGGUCUGUUAUUUGACAAAUCACACCAACAGAUUUUACAAAAUAGACAGACAUAGAUGACAUUCAACAACGAAUACAGGCUUCAAAGAAAAAAAAACAGAAGAUGAAAACCUUAAAACUGAUAAAACUAAACUCCAUAUUUCAGAUUUUCAUUACCACUUAGAUAGGUUAAUCAAUCAAGAUAAACUAGAUACUUCAAAAGCCUUUCCAAAUCAAAAUGAAUUCAAGUUACAAAAUCCAACCUAAUAGCUAGGAAUGCUUGAACAUGAAAAUCACAACUCUAACUCUAUUCAACACUAAUUAAACUUAUCCCAAGACAAUAGCAAAUGCUGAAAUUAAGGCAUGACUAUCCUACAUAUAAAUUAACCGAGUUCAAAGAUGAGCAAUUUUGCUAUUUUUUUUAAUCUAUUAGAAAAAUACUUAAACAGCUAAUGCCAAACACAUUUCAAUGAACAAGACAUAAUUAAGAGCCAACAUAAAUGUUGAAAUAAAGAGAAGAUUACCUGGUUGUGGGCAGCGAACCGGACGAUGAGUUUGACGGAGACGGUUCCACUACCUCUUUCAACUCGAAUGAUCACAAAAGCCACAAAACUUUAAACUAUUGAGCCGAGAAUUCCCAAACCCUUUUGGGGUACUCUCAAUCUCCAAAAACCGUCCCUUUGAACAGUGAAUGGGGUUGGUUUAUAUAAAAACCAAAAAAAAUUCCAAAAUGGAAGAAAUCUCGAUAUGGGACUGUUGCAAAUUGAAAAUCGUUUGAGAAACGAUGUGGGUGAGGCCGAAAUCUCCAAUUUUCGCAGUGGAUAAGGUGUAUGAGCUGGGGAGUGUACGAAUUUGAAAUGAAAAUGAAGAGAAAAAGGAAAUUGGAAUGGACCACACCAUGGUUGCCUCCGGAAGCUCCGAGUGUCUUUAGGCUCGUGCUAAGCACGCAGAUUGUACGAAUAUGAAGUAAAAAAGGGGAAAUUUAAGGCGGCAAAUUUGGGAAUGGGUUCGUUCUUUGGUUUGUUCUGUUCUCGCGUCUCUGUAUUGAGAAUGAGAAGGAGAAGAGCAUGGAGGAUUUUGGGCUUAAGAAUGGGCCGG
Molecule: long non-coding RNA, 9743 nt
Filed under: Solanum tuberosum (potato)
Lineage: Eukaryota; Viridiplantae; Streptophyta; Magnoliopsida; Solanales; Solanaceae
Description: long non-coding RNA (STUB_LNC005530)
Source: RNAcentral